CACCUACAAACCGUCACACGAUAAUAAAAACAGAUCUUGGGGUGUUAUCUUUCACGGCCAUUUGCAAACAGGACAAGGACAGCCUUAAGGAAAGCUCAGGAAACCUGUUCUCAGAGACGAGACUAUACCUCCCUAGACUAGUGUUGUGUUUGUACUAAACCCAGAGCAGCCCUGAAUGAAUUGACAGAAUGACCCAGCUCAUAUUCUAAAGCGAUUAAUUGUUUGAAAGCAUUAAUUUAUACCAGAAAACAAGACAGAAAUACUAAGGAAGAAAAUCUCUGUUUUGAUUCUGAUUCAUUCAGACAUUUCUAAUAGCUCGUUCCGAAGCUCUGAUCAAAUGAUUCGCGAAACGCACUUCGGAGUCCCGAUCUGAAUCAAAUGUAUUGUGAACUCCGAAGCCCCGAUCAAAUGAUUCGCGAGCAGUGCUCUUGCUGAGGCAUGGGAAAAAUAAAGGAGCUGGA
Carassius auratus (goldfish) is the source of this 461-nucleotide long non-coding RNA. RefSeq lists it as uncharacterized. The transcript is spliced from 3 exons. The record is from RefSeq and is a predicted model, not a curated record. NCBI's taxonomy places the organism in Eukaryota, Metazoa, Chordata, Actinopteri, Cypriniformes, Cyprinidae.